UGCAAACCCUGUGUUUUUCUCUUGGAAACCCACUCUAGAGCCUUCAAUCCCAGCGAAGAACCAGCCUCCUAUUCUCGCUAAAUCCAAAUCCAAAGCCUUCAUUCCUAGCAAAUAACUAACUCUUCAUCCCUGCCACAUCCAAAUCCAAAGCCUUCAAUCCUAGGUCCCAACGAAUUCUAUUUUAUUCCCUAUCCGUGAUUCUUCCCCGGAAUCUGUUUCUUCCAUAUCCGCGAUUAUGUGGAAACCCUUUCAUUCUCUGUGACUCACUCCAAGACUCCUCUAGAAGCAUCUCCAUAGUCUCCUGAUUCAACUCCAGCAACUUCCACGAAUCUGAUAACACACUUGUACAAGAGCUUCAGCAAUCACUUGAAAACCAACCUAAAAGCAACAAAAAGGUUAUCCAUAGGGACAACAGAAGCAAUAGCAUUGGCAAAUGAUUUUUACGCUACUAAAUAGUUUCUCAUGGUUUUGGCCAUGCGUAGCAGAGGAAGAAAGCAAUAAAGAAAGACGCUUAGAGAUAAAUUUUCAUAUUGUAUCAAAUUUUUAACUAUUUUUAUUUUAAAAUUUAAUAUUGCUAUCAUUACAUGAAUUGGUUUUAUGUACUAGCCAUGUUCAAAACAGUUGAAGAUUGUGGCUAACAUUAAUUUUAGUUUAUGUGGUUAAUCGAAAGAUUUUGAAGUUA
Diospyros lotus (date-plum) is the source of this 682-nucleotide long non-coding RNA. RefSeq lists it as uncharacterized. The transcript has 3 exons. Lineage: Eukaryota; Viridiplantae; Streptophyta; Magnoliopsida; Ericales; Ebenaceae. The record is from RefSeq and is a predicted model, not a curated record.